Molecule: transfer RNA, 74 nt
Filed under: Homo sapiens (human)
Lineage: Eukaryota; Metazoa; Chordata; Mammalia; Primates; Hominidae
Description: tRNA-Ile (GAT) (tRX-Ile-NNN-1-1, tRX-Ile-NNN-1-2)
Source: RNAcentral
GGUCGGUUAUCUCAGUUGGUGAGCGCGUGGUGCUGAUACCGCCAUGGUCGCGGGCUUGAUCCCCGCACCGGCCC